RNAcentral lists this ribosomal RNA (256 nucleotides) under uncultured bacterium. Its description in RNAcentral is "partial 16S ribosomal RNA". It matches the Rfam family "Bacterial small subunit ribosomal RNA", at positions 524 to 776 of the family's 1533-position model. The record is from RNAcentral.
UACGAAGGGGGGCUAGCGUUGCUCGGAAUGACUGGGCGUAAAGGGCGCGUAGGCGGUUCAUACAGUUAGAUGUGAAAUUCCUGGGCUCAACCUGGGGGCUGCAUUUGAUACGUGUGGACUAGAGUGGGGAAGAGGGGUCGUGGAAUUCCCGGUGUAGCGGUGAAAUGCGUAGAGAUCGGGAGGAACAUCAGUGGCGAAGGCGGCCAUCUGGGACAACACGUGACGCUGAAGCACGAAAGCGUGGGGAGCAAACAGG